AACAGGAUUAGAUACCCUGGUAGUCCACGCCCUAAACGAUGUCUACUAGUUGUCGGGUUUUAAUUAACUUGGUAACGCAGCUAACGCGUGAAGUAGACCGCCUGGGGAGUACGGUCGCAAGAUUAAAACUCAAAGGAAUUGACGGGGACCCGCACAAGCGGUGGAUGAUGUGGAUUAAUUCGAUGCAACGCGAAAAACCUUACCUACCCUUGACAUGGAAGGAAUCCUGGAGAGAUUUGGGAGUGCCCGAAAGGGAACCUUCACACAGGUGCUGCAUGGCUGUCGUCAGCUCGUGUCGUGAGAUGUUGGGUUAAGUCCCGCAACGAGCGCAACCCUUGUCAUUAGUUGCUACGCAAGAGCACUCUAAUGAGACUGCCGGUGACAAACCGGAGGAAGGUGGGGAUGACGUCAAGUCCUCAUGGCCCUUAUGGGUAGGGCUUCACACGUCAUACAAUGGUACAUACAGAGGGCCGCCAACCCGCGAGGGGGAGCUAAUCCCAGAAAGUGUAUCGUAGUCCGGAUUGUAGUCUGCAACUCGACUACAUGAAGUUGGAAUCGCUAGUAAUCGCGGAUCAGCAUGUCGCGGUGAACACGUUCCCGGGUCUUGUACACACCGCCCGUCACACCAUGGGAGCGGGUUUUACCAGAAGUAGGUAGCUUAACCGCAAGGAGGGCGCUUACCACGGUAGGAUUCGUGACUGGGGUGAAGUCGUAACAAGGUAACC
Molecule: ribosomal RNA, 725 nt
Filed under: uncultured bacterium
Lineage: Bacteria
Description: bacterial SSU rRNA
Rfam family: Bacterial small subunit ribosomal RNA
Source: RNAcentral